Small nuclear RNA from Tupaia belangeri (northern tree shrew), 106 nucleotides. NCBI's taxonomy places the organism in Eukaryota, Metazoa, Chordata, Mammalia, Scandentia, Tupaiidae. The record is from Ensembl.
GUGCUCGCUUCAGCUGCACAUAUAUUAAAAUUGUAACAAUACAGAGAAGAUUAGGAUGGCCCCGUGCAAGGAUGACAUGCCAAUUCGUGACAUUUCAUAUUUUUUC